This 76-nucleotide transfer RNA is filed under the name Escherichia coli. Its description in RNAcentral is "tRNA-Ala". It matches the Rfam family "tRNA". Rfam says of the family: Transfer RNA (tRNA) molecules are approximately 80 nucleotides in length. Their secondary structure includes four short double-helical elements and three loops (D, anti-codon, and T loops). Further hydrogen bonds mediate the characteristic L-shaped molecular structure. tRNAs have two regions of fundamental functional importance: the anti-codon, which is responsible for specific mRNA codon recognition, and the 3' end, to which the tRNAs corresponding amino acid is attached (by aminoacyl-tRNA synthetases). tRNAs cope with the degeneracy of the genetic code in two manners: having more than one tRNA (with a specific anti-codon) for a particular amino acid; and 'wobble' base-pairing, i.e. permitting non-standard base-pairing at the 3rd anti-codon position. Lineage: Bacteria; Pseudomonadati; Pseudomonadota; Gammaproteobacteria; Enterobacterales; Enterobacteriaceae. RNAcentral also lists the same sequence under 5 other names. The record is from RNAcentral.
GGGGAUGUAGCUCAAUUGGGAGAGCAUCUGCCUUGCAAGCAGAAGGUUGUGGGUUCGAAACCCAUCAUCUCCACCA